RNAcentral lists this ribosomal RNA (380 nucleotides) under uncultured eukaryote. Its description in RNAcentral is "partial 18S ribosomal RNA". It matches the Rfam family "Eukaryotic small subunit ribosomal RNA", at positions 592 to 976 of the family's 1831-position model. The record is from RNAcentral.
CAAUAGCGUAUAUUAAAGUUGUUGCAGUUAAAAAGCUCGUAGUUGGAUUUCUGCUGAGAACGACCGGUCCGCCCUUUGGGUGUGUAUCUGGCUCUUUCUUGGCAUCUUCUUGGUGAACGUUGCUGCACUUGACUGUGUGGAGCGCUACCCAGGACUUUUACUUUGAGGAAAUUAGAGUGUUUCAAGCAGGCAUACGCCUUGAAUACAUUAGCAUGGAAUAAUAAGAUAGGACCUCGGUUCUAUUUUGUUGGUUUCUAGAGCUGAGGUAAUGAUUAAUAGGGAUAGUUGGGGGCAUUCGUAUUUAACUGUCAGAGGCGAAAUUCUUGGAUUUGUUAAAGACGGACUACUGCGAAAGCGUUUGCCCAGGAUGUUUUCAUUGA